RNAcentral lists this ribosomal RNA (102 nucleotides) under Chelonoidis abingdonii (Abingdon island giant tortoise). Lineage: Eukaryota; Metazoa; Chordata; Testudines; Testudinidae. The record is from RNAcentral.
CCAUACCACACUGAAUGUCCCUGAUCUUGUUUGGUCUCAGAAGCCAAGCAGAGUUGGGCCUGGUUAGUACUUGGAUGGGAGAUUGCCUAAGAAUACUGGAUG